UGCGAGUGAAGCGGCAAAAGCUCAAAUUUGAAAUCCGGGGCCUCACAGCCUCCGAAUUGUAAUUUCGCGAUACGUUUUCGACCAAAGGUCCCGCUUUAAGUUCCUUGGAACAGGACGUCACAGAGGGUGAGAAUCCCGUGAUAGGUAGGGCCUGAGGCAUAUGAUACGUAUUCAACGAGUCGAGUUGUUUGGGAAUGCAGCUCAAAAUGGGUGGUAAAUUUCAUCUAAAGCUAAAUAUUGGCGAGAGACCGAUAGCGCACAAGUAGAGUGAUCGAAAGAUGAAAAGCACUUUGAAAAGAGAGUUAAAAAGUACGUGAAAUUGUUGAANGGGAAGCGCUCGAGACCAGACUCGAUCUGUGGGGAUCAACCGGGCUUCUGUCCGGUGCACUCGCCACUCUUCGGGCCAGCAUCGGUUCUGGCGGUGGGAUAAAGUCUUGAGGAAUGUAGCUAUCUUUCGGUAGUGUUAUAGCCUCUUGAGUAAUGCCACCA
RNAcentral lists this ribosomal RNA (489 nucleotides) under Paurocotylis watlingii. RNAcentral describes it as "eukaryotic LSU rRNA". It matches the Rfam family "Eukaryotic large subunit ribosomal RNA", at positions 88 to 581 of the family's 3401-position model. The record is from RNAcentral. Lineage: Eukaryota; Fungi; Ascomycota; Pezizomycetes; Pezizales; Tarzettaceae.